Molecule: ribosomal RNA, 437 nt
Filed under: uncultured prokaryote
Description: partial 16S ribosomal RNA
Source: RNAcentral
CCCUACGGGGUGCAGCAGGCAGGGUUACUUCGCUAUGUGUCGCGGCUUCCGCUUCACCGCCAGAAGGCGCUCCACGUCGGCUAUGAUCUCGUCCGCGUCGACGGUGAGAAGCAGCCAUUUCCCGUCGUGGUAGGUCGUGGCCCCGUCAUAGCCCCUCCGGGUCCGCUCCGACAAAUCCUGCCGGAUCGUUUCCACCUUCGCCCGCUCCUCCGCGCCGAAGACGAUCAGCAGGGCGAAGCGGUUCCUCUCCGGAACCAGCGUGCAGAAUUACUUCCCCUUUUUAUAGCGGCUCGACCAGCCGUGCUUCUUUCCUCCGAACAACCACUCAGGCGCGAAGACGCCCGGGUAGUUGCGCUCGAUCAUGGACUCGACGUGCAGCCAGUAUUCCCAAGCCUCAUCGCCGAUCCAGGCCUCGACUUCCCCCGGAGCGGGAGGGC